CWCGGSGKCUUACACAUGCAGUCGACGGUAAGGCCCUUCGGGGUACACGAGUGGCGAACGGGUGAGUAACACGUGGGUGACCUGCCCUGUACUUCGGGAUAAGCCUGGGAAACUGGGUCUAAUACCGGAUAUGACCUUCUCCUGCAUGGGGGUUGGUGGAAAGCUUUUGCGGUACAGGAUGGGCCCGCGGCCUAUCAGCUUGUUGGUGGGGUAAUGGCCUACCAAGGCGACGACGGGUAGCCGGCCUGAGAGGGCGACCGGCCACACUGGGACUGAGACACGGCCCAGACUCCUACGGGAGGCAGCAGUGGGGAAUAUUGCACAAUGGGCGGAAGCCUGAUGCAGCGACGCCGCGUGAGGGAUGACGGCCUUCGGGUUGUAAACCUCUUUCAGUAGGGACGAAGCGCAAGUGACGGUACCUACAGAAGAAGCACCGGCCAACUACGUGCCAGCAGCCGCGGUAAUACGUAGGGUGCGAGCGUUGUCCGGAUUUACUGGGCGUAAAGAGCUCGUAGGCGGUUUGUCACGUCGUCUGUGAAAACCCGAGGCUUAACCUCGGGCCUGCAGGCGAUACGGGCAGACUUGAGUACUGUAGGGGAGACUGGAAUUCCUGGUGUAGCGKAAAWKGKGSKWGAGAA
Molecule: ribosomal RNA, 638 nt
Filed under: Tsukamurella sp. AK-34
Lineage: Bacteria; Bacillati; Actinomycetota; Actinomycetes; Mycobacteriales; Tsukamurellaceae
Description: bacterial SSU rRNA
Rfam family: Bacterial small subunit ribosomal RNA
Source: RNAcentral